UGCAGGAAAAAUCACGCGAGAAGAUCGUUUGCCCACACGGGUGCAGGGCACUGUGCGCGUGCACAUGCGCGCACAGUGGCUUCAAGGCGUGCGCACAGUGCACACAUCCCAUACGCAUGUUAGCAUGCACGUCCCCUUCGCACACAAGCACACACGAGAUGUGAGCACAGCGCGCAAGUCCUGUCCGUGUGCACGGCGCGGGAUCAAGACCAGCGCACGCGUUAUGUCACACGCAAACAGGUCGUCUUCGAGUCACCUCGCACACGGAAUGGCACUGCACACUUUGCGUGCGUCGUCCUUGUAGUAGGCCUACGCAAAUAG
RNAcentral lists this long non-coding RNA (321 nucleotides) under Carica papaya (papaya). RNAcentral describes it as "long non-coding RNA (CPAP_LNC009448)". The record is from RNAcentral. Lineage: Eukaryota; Viridiplantae; Streptophyta; Magnoliopsida; Brassicales; Caricaceae.